This 22-nucleotide microRNA is filed under the name Ananas comosus (pineapple). RNAcentral describes it as "microRNA s0230_c085". The record is from RNAcentral. Lineage: Eukaryota; Viridiplantae; Streptophyta; Magnoliopsida; Poales; Bromeliaceae.
CUGAUGUGGGUUUUCGCGCGCU